GUAUGUAAGCAAGGUACUUGCUGGAUCUCUCGGGUUGAAGACUGUGGUAGUCUCAGCCGAGGAUGAGGGAUUGGAACUUUCAGUAGCCAUUGAGAACCCAAAAGAGAAUUGAGAAACAGAGGUUGAGAAGAGUUAGAGAAGAAGACGCAGAGAGGCGGAAGAAAAAGAGGAAUAAAAAAAAAAAAAAAAAAUUAGGUCUAAAUCUUUUUGUGCUCUGAUACCUUGAUGAAUAUGGAAUUGUAUAUUAUUCACAAAGAGCAGUGCUCUAGCUUUAUACAUCGAGAGAGAGCCUAAUUAAUAAAUGUUUAUAUACAGAGAGUAAUGUGAGAAUAUAUGAUUAAAAGUGAUGAUCGCCUUUCUAUAUCUUACACUUGGGUGUGGAUCCAAAGCGAUGGUUUCAACCAACAUAAAUUUCAAAGUAGUUGGCUGUAAAACGUCUUAUUUGUAAAUGUUAAUUCUUUAAAAAUGAAAGGAAAUUUUCAUGUAGCCUAUUGUGUGGAAUGCAAGUCGUUUAUUCCUCAAUUCGACAUCAGGGACACACUUCUACGUUGACAAUGAAAGCCUAGCCACACUGAGCUUUCUAAAAAGGUUAAUUACUUCUUUGUUGCUUUGCUUUUGAAUCAAUACAAAUGUUAUAUUAAAGAUGUGAAAUGUAUCAAAUAAUAAAAAGAUAUUUGUUGGUGUAAUAUCUGUUGAUGUAACAAUUCAGAAAUAAUAAAAAGAUAAAAUCAAACUAAAAAUGAUUGUUGUAAAAAAAAUUAAAAAUUAUUAAACAAAAUACAUUAUUUUCACUUUUGUUUUAAUGUAGAAAAUGGUCAAUUGUGUCUGAACAUAAAGUUGUGUAUUUAGUGAUCAAAUAUAUUCAAAAUAUAUUAACUAGAAAUUUUUUGAAAAUAAAUAAUAACUUUUGUCUGUAUGUUUCUGAUAAACGAUCAUGUCGAAAUAAAGAAAAUGGUUAUAAAAGUGGACUAUCAAUCCCCAACCCAAAUUGAGUAGUACCGAAGUAGAAAGUCACAAAUCAAUAAUACCUAAACAGUACCUAUUAGAACAAUAUAACUCCACUAAUUGUUAUAUUCGUACUUUAGAAAACAAGGAGUCCACCAAUAUAUGCUGCCAAAACUUCAAAUACACCCUAAUCAGGUUACAGGAACCUUAAAAUUUCAAGAAAUCUCAUAACUAAUCGUAAUUUACAAUCACUAUGACAUUUUUGUUCCCGAUACGAACCACUCACCACCCAAUUUACCCCCAUUAUACAAAUCAUAAUAUAUGGUUAAACAAUAGAGAACUCAUCUCUAUCAAAACAUCACAGAUUGUAAGGCCGCAAACAUGGUUAUUAGAAUUUUUUUUAAAAAAACCAUGGUUAACACAAACAACAUUGCAAACAAGUAAAAUAUAUGUUAUCACAUAUAAUCUCUCCUAUCAUUAUCACCCAUCUCUUGCAAAUGCAAACCAAAAACACGAACCACAAAAUUAUACAAAAAUAAUAACCUAGAUCACAAGUAAAGUAUAUCCGGCCCGCCCUACGGACCGACCCUAGUUACUAUAAAAGAACACUAUUCUUUCUUUCUCAGCUUGCCGCAUCAGAAAAUAGUGUUUUUAGAGAUCGAAAUGUGUCUUUAAUUUUAUCACUUGUACGCAUCGUUUCAUUUAAAAUAUAUAGACAACUUAUGGGCUUCGUGUUUAUUUUCUCACAACGGACCAAGGCUGCAUCACCAAGGUGUACUCCUCCUUUGCCAAUCGAGAUCGAGGCCCGACCUGAGUUACAAGAGAGUUGUUUCAUCUUCUUCCUCGUCAAUCCGCAGAGAUACCAGUUACAACUUCAACCUCUUCAAGACCUUCUUAAAUCCAUACCCCCAUGAUCUCUCUUGAAUGCGAUCUCAGCUCAUGGAAGGCAGUGGAAUCUCGACUAUAAAAAGUAUAAUGGUUCUUCCACGAUUUUAUUCCUGGGUUGGGAGAGGCCAAGCUCAUCCUUUUAUGGGAAGCUCUCUGGAUUGAUGUUGAGACGUUCAUCAACGAACAGGUUGACUAAUUGUAUUUACAUAAGGCACUGUGAUUACAUAGCUUCAUAUCCCCUUAUCGUGUAAUGCGAGACAACUCCAGAACCGUUACGAGAACCAGAUGCAUUCAGUCGUCGUCUUUUAUCAUGAGUGUCCUAAAUUGAUAUCCUUUUUAAUUUUUCAGGCAUGCCAGAUGACGAAAAGGCAUAAAGCUCUUGCAACUUUUCAACAAAGAUACAUGUGUCUUCUGAUUAUCACCAGGAGACAAGCUUCUUCUCGGAGUUAGGGGAGAUCCACUUGCUCCUGUUCAUUUCUCCUCCUCUGAUCUUUUGCCUCGCCUUAGUAUCAAAGGCACACCAAUCGAGACAUCGUCUGUGCAGUAUAUACAUCAACAGUACACUGCUGCUUUCGGUGGACGGAAGCUUCAAAACUCUAUCAAAAAAUGCUUAUGCUAUGGGGAAGCUCAAGAUGAUCACUUCUGAGCUUUAGACCGCGACAAGAACUGUAACUGGAACCCGUCCAAGGCUGCGAGUGGAGGUUUCGUUCUGUUGCAGAUGAAUCCAGACAUAUAACAGUUUUGCAAUGUUCUCUUCUGUUUUUGCUUAUGCGUGUUGAGAGUCCUUUUUGAUUUCUUUAGGUUAUCCUGUUUAUUGUGGGACCUGAGUUACAAGUUAUCAACAAUUCUGAGAAAGAUAUCUCUUAAAGUUGAUGGACUUCUGAAUUUGACACUGAAUCAAGAUCAAGAAAAACCCACUUUUGUAGUCCUUUAAUUAAUGGCUUAGUGUGUUUGUUUAUAGUGCAUGUUUGAUGAUUUCAGGCAGAGAAGAAAGUAGACACUAUCUUUUUAGGCAAUUCCUAUUAAGUGGUACUGAAACAACUUCAGUUUCACUUGAGGUAAAAGGAAAAUAGAACCUUAUAAAUUUUCUCCAUGUUAAAGUCUUAGACAGUUGACCUUGUAUAUGUUAAAAACCCAAAAAGAGUCUAUGAGCAGAGGAAAGAAAGACAAACAUAACAUAACAAAUGAUUUUUCAAAUAUUUUCUUCUUGUGUUCUUCUCAUUCUUGAACUUAUUUGUAUUCUUGAUUAUAAAUCACAGAAAGUUUACAUUUAAAAAAAUUAUUGGAUUUUCGUUUUUAAUGGGUUUGUGUUCCAGCAACAUUCACCAAAUUUCAGAAUACUGUGACAGCAUUGCCGUAUGUUAUGGGGUGUCUCCACUUCCCUUUGAAUGUUGAAGCUGUGCAAUGGUAACAAUACAAUUAUACCAGCAACAUUGCAGCUUGUGCUGGAGCAGACCCAGUAGGUUAACUGAGGUAAGCGAAUACUUUUGGUAAAGUUAUUGUUUAUACUGCAAUAAGGAGAAAGAGAAACUCUGUGUCAAUCUUAGUUUAGAGUUGAAACAAAAGCUUUAUGAACUUACGUUACGUAUUCUUGCAAAGGACAACAACAAAAGCUGCAACGAAAAAUCUAUAUUGAGGAUGUAGCAUAUCUAAACUCAAACAUCUUAAGGAUGAACCAUAUAAUCAAAUAAUAUUAACUAAAUCUUGACCGGAUUAUCUUUAUUAUAGAUUAAAAUAUUAAUGUUUAUAUUCCAAACAUUUAUGAUUAAAUUAUAAAUAUUUCGGUGUUAAUCUCUACCUCAAUACAACUUGAUCAAAUCAUCUUCCUAUAAAUCACUAUUUUUUUAACCCAUACUGGUUUGUAAGAUUUAAAAUAUUUCAGUUAUUGAAUGUCAUAAUACACAACAACUCUACAAAAAAAAACAUCACCACAUAGAAACAUUUACAUAAUAGGGCACAUUUACACUUAUUAAUUACACCAUGGGUCACUUUGUUCUGCCAACGUAUUUUUUCAUAACUCUUUGUUCAAUUUCGUUACUUUUUCUAACUAAAACAAAACCACAUGGUGGUUCCCAUUCACUUCCUUAUUCUUCUCUUCUUCUUUAUCAUUUAAAAGACAACGUGUUUCCAUUUUUCACUUUAUAUCUCUCUCUCUUCAUCUAUAUUAUUUUUCAGUCGCCUAAAACCAGAACCAAAGUGAAUCUUCUAUAGCUGCCUCCAAUUACCGAGUUGACUCAGUUAAAAGAAAUCAAAUUAAUGAAGAUAGGAAAUGAAUGGUCGAUUGUGAGGAAACAUAUUAUUUGUAUUUUAAAAUUUAAUUUCAACUCUCUCCUCUCUCAUAUCUCAUUCUCCAGAUUCAAAUUGAGAAAGCAUAGAUAAAUUCUUGAUUACGGAGAAGAAUGAAGGAAGGAAAAUGAGCUGUGUUCAGUCCAAAAAAAAAAAGAAGCUGCUACUCGAUGCAAAUGUUACGGAUCAUAACACUUUGGCCCCCGUGUAUUCUCGUUGUUCACAGUCCAAUCGGCGAAUCCAAAUUACAGUGGUGACUCAGUCCUAGUGAUUUGAAUCCAAAUUUCAAAAUUUUUGUUUCAGCAAGAAUGGAAUCUGAUGGACAUGAAUUCAGUAGCUGCUUUAUUCGUCGCUACUGUCGUCAUAUUUGUUUUCCUCCUCUGCUUAGUGGCCACAAUCCAUGUCUCCUUCAUAUGGGGAAUCGUCUCGAGUACUCGGUAAACACAUCCCUUUCCCAGCUUCAUGUGUUAUCAUCUAUAACAUAUCAUUUGGCUUCACCUCCAGCUUCCACUUCUUCUUGUUUUAGUAAUUGGCUAUGCUUCCAUAGCGACUUAUUGACACAAGUCUUGAAUCAUCACUUUCUUAUUAGGUUUCAUUUACCUCAUUGGCUGGUAGAAUUUUCAUGCUUUGAACCAACAAAAGCUUUCUUCCUUUUGUAUGACCUUGAGAUUUUAGAGAUAACAAUGUUUUUUGACUUGUGUAAAUCAUCAAAGUUGCAAGUGUGUGUUGAGAAUUAUCAGGUGUGUACAAGUGAACUGAUGCACAUGUGGACAGUGACAUCUCUGGAUCUCAUAUCGAGUUAGAAUUUUUUGUAUCUCUUGUACGGUUUUGUUGGAGGGGUUGUGAGAUUUCAUUACAUGUAGAAGAUAAGAUUCCUAUCUCCUGAUCCAAGUCUACAGACUAGCUCAUUAUACUACCCAUCAAGUGUUACUGAUCAAUGUGUACAUCAGACUCAUUGUACAUGUGUACUUAAUUUUAAUGUGUCAUCUUUGUAUCUUUGAAUUACAAAAUUAUAUACAUGUUGAUUUAAUUUAUUAAUCUUUUUGUGUUUGUU
Long non-coding RNA from Brassica napus (rape), 5173 nucleotides. RefSeq lists it as uncharacterized. Lineage: Eukaryota; Viridiplantae; Streptophyta; Magnoliopsida; Brassicales; Brassicaceae. The transcript has 4 exons. The record is from RefSeq and is a predicted model, not a curated record.